RNAcentral lists this ribosomal RNA (468 nucleotides) under uncultured bacterium. RNAcentral describes it as "partial 16S ribosomal RNA". It matches the Rfam family "Bacterial small subunit ribosomal RNA", at positions 28 to 507 of the family's 1533-position model. The record is from RNAcentral.
GACGAACGCUGGCGGCGUGCUUAACACAUGCAAGUCGAACGGAAAGGCCCUGCUUUUGUUGGGUGCUCGAUUGGCGAACGGGUGAGUAACACGUGAGUAUCCUGCCUUUGACUUUGGGAUAACUUCAGGUAACUGGGGCUAAUACCGGAUAGGAGCUUCUGCUGCAUGGUGUGGGUUGGAAAGUUUCGGCGGUUGGGGAUGGACUCGCGGCUUAUCAGCUUGUUGGUGGGGUAGUGGCUUACCAAGUCUUUGACGGGUAGCCGGCCUGGGAGGGUGACCGGCCACAUUAGGACUGAGAUACGGCCCAGACUCCAACGGGAGGCAGCAGUGGGGAAUAUUACACAGUGGGCGGAAGCCAGAUGCAACAACGCCGCGUGCGGGAUGACGGCCUUCGGGUUGUAAACCGCUUUCGCCUGUGACGAGGCGUGAGUGACGGUAAUGGGUAAAGAAGCACCGGCUAACUACGUG